AAUCAUUUAUUUCUUCACGGACUCUCUCUUAUCUCUCUCUUACUAUUGCUUCCUUCUUCUUUUCCAACCCCCUCCCCUCCUUUCCUUCACUGGUUCAUCCUUUCCUCCUCUUAUUUCCUUCUCUCUUAUUUGCCCGAUGACUCGCUAUUUUCUUAACCCCACCUCCAUCCCAUUCUCCACCCCAGCCCAAUUCGGUCUUCCAUCUCUCCUCCUCCUUCCCCCUAUGCAUUAACCCUAACUCCACCACCUCUCUUUAGAUCCCAUCUCCCUCUCUUUCUUCUAAGCUUUCCACCUAUUUUUAGGUCCCCUCCACCCCAUCGUAUUUGGUCAUGCCGGUCCAACACCUCUUGAUUGACGGUCUACAUCAUGCCUAUUAUUCAUGCUCUCAAGCUAAAUUUCUCUAACUCUUAUUUUUCUUUUCGAUUCCACUUUUCUAUUUACUUCCUCUUAUAUUUUAUUUUUUCUUCUUUUUCUUUAUUUCCUCCAUCACAAAUUUUAUUUUUUCUCUUUUUAUGCUAGUCGGCUGCCUCUUACUGAUUUCUUUCAAAGUCGAUGGCUUACGCCAUGCCAACUCUCAAUCCCCUCUAAGCCAGCCAAGCAUCACAUGCUGAUGGAGUUGAUGGAACCAAUAUCAUCGACUGAGCUGAUGGAACCACUAUCCAAUAGAGUUUGUUUUCAUUACAUAAAUGGGUAGUAUACCUUUUACUGUUCUUUUUGUAUUUCUCACCUUUCCUUUUCUUUUUUGAUUCCUCACUAUAUACUAUAGUGAAGCAGAAUUGAAUGGCUAAUGUGCCUUUUUUUUUUUUUCCUUUCAUGUAACAUUCCAACCAUUCUUUUUUGCGUCCUUUGUGCAUUAUAAUUCUAUAGAAUUAAAUGGCCAAUGCACUUUUUUCCUUUCCA
Molecule: long non-coding RNA, 900 nt
Organism: Elaeis guineensis (African oil palm)
Lineage: Eukaryota; Viridiplantae; Streptophyta; Magnoliopsida; Arecales; Arecaceae
Source: RefSeq, a predicted model, not a curated record